RNAcentral lists this ribosomal RNA (547 nucleotides) under Periconia cf. macrospinosa Fun502A. RNAcentral's name for it is "partial 18S ribosomal RNA". The stretch from base 203 to 356 matches the Rfam family "5.8S ribosomal RNA". Lineage: Eukaryota; Fungi; Ascomycota; Dothideomycetes; Pleosporales; Periconiaceae. The record is from RNAcentral.
AGUAAAAGUCGUAACAAGGUUUCCGUAGGUGAACCUGCGGAAGGAUCAUUACACAUUCGGGGCGCUUCGGCGCUCCUUAUACACCCACCCUCUGCCUACGUGUACCUCUAUAGCUUCCUCGGCGGGCUCGCCCGCCGCCAGGAACCCACGAAACCCCUUGCAUUAUACGCGAAAACUUCUGAUAACAAACCUAAAUUAUCACAACUUUCAACAAUGGAUCUCUUGGUUCUGGCAUCGAUGAAGAACGCAGCGAAAUGCGAUAAGUAGUGUGAAUUGCAGAAUUCAGUGAAUCAUCGAAUCUUUGAACGCACAUUGCGGCCAUAGGUAUUCCUUUGGCCAUGCCUGUUCGAGCGUCAUUUACACCCUCAAGCCUAGCUUGGUGUUGGGCGUCUGUCCCGCCGUUUUCGCGCGCGGACUCGCCUCAAAGUCAUUGGCGGCGGUCGUGCCGGCCCCUCGCGCAGCACAUUUGCGCUUCUCGGAGGCCCGGCGGAUCCGCGCUCCAGCAAGACCUUUCAUGACUAGACCUCGGAUCAGGAGGAACCCGUGA